UACAGAGGGUGCAAGCGUUGUUCGGAAUUACUGGGCGUAAAGCGCGCGCAGGCGGUCUUCCAAGUCAGUGGUGAAAGCCUGGAGCUCAACUCCAGAACUGCCAUUGAAACUGUUAGACUUGAGUACGAGAGAGGUGAGUGGAAUUCCCAGUGUAGAGGUGAAAUUCGUAGAUAUUGGGAAGAACACCGGUGGCGAAGGCGGCUCACUGGCUCGUAACUGACGCUCAGGCGCGACAGCGUGGGGAUCAAACAGG
RNAcentral lists this ribosomal RNA (253 nucleotides) under uncultured bacterium. RNAcentral's name for it is "partial 16S ribosomal RNA". It matches the Rfam family "Bacterial small subunit ribosomal RNA", at positions 524 to 776 of the family's 1533-position model. The record is from RNAcentral.